Molecule: long non-coding RNA, 100 nt
Organism: Melitaea cinxia (Glanville fritillary)
Lineage: Eukaryota; Metazoa; Arthropoda; Insecta; Lepidoptera; Nymphalidae
Exons: 3
Source: RefSeq, a predicted model, not a curated record
AUUCGGAUUCAGCGGACCAAAAUACGUACCCAUAAGUAGGUCCGGUCAAAUGCACAUUCCACUUCAUUUUUUUUGUGUGCCGGUGUUCUUUCACUGUCAG